CCUGACCAUUCAUCUUGGGAGCACUAUUUGAUAGCAUGGAGAGACUCUUCCCUUUCCCCCCUCCCCCACCACUUCCCAGUACAUUUUGGAUUGAGUACAUCUCAGAAGUGAAGCCCUUCUUUCUGUAUGAUGAUAAUGGGCAUGAUCAAAAUGUAUUUCCUUCUGACUGAAAGCCAGAAGAGUUUUGCUUCAGUGGAAUUCACUGUCUUUAGGAGAAAAGAUGUGAUCAGAAUAGGAAUGCUGAAUUCAAGAUACCUUUUCUGCUGGACCAGUGAUAAAAUUCCAAUGAUCAUUGGCAGAAGGCUCAGCACUUCUUGUGGCACACAUGGUGAGAUGGAUGGAUGCUGUUACUGGAAUGCAUCUUCAAAAUUUCUAAAGAUCUGUGAUUUCAACCAUUUGGUAAUUCCCUCUAUAUGCAGAUUGACUCUCUUUCAUGCCCUCAAUAUUUUUUUUUCUUUCAUGAGUUCCCUUGGUCAGAGAAUUCAUCUGGUGGCCAAAUUUUUGGUGAUGAGCCUCUUUCAGUUUUGGAAACUGGUCUUCUUAACACUUUUUUUUGUUGGACCUGUGCUUAUUAACUUUCAAGCUUGGGUAGUAUCUGUUGGAAAUAGUCUCCUGUCAUAG
RNAcentral lists this long non-coding RNA (621 nucleotides) under Phascolarctos cinereus (koala). Its description in RNAcentral is "lncRNA (ENSPCIG00000017682.2)". The record is from RNAcentral. Lineage: Eukaryota; Metazoa; Chordata; Mammalia; Diprotodontia; Phascolarctidae.